CCUACGGGGGGCAGCAGUGAGGAAUAUUGGUCAAUGGACGAGAGUCUGAACCAGCCAAGUAGCGUGCAGGAUGACGGCCCUAUGGGUUGUAAACUGCUUUUAUAAGGGAAUAAAGUGAGUCUCGUGAGACUUUUUGCAUGUACCUUAUGAAUAAGGACCGGCUAAUUCCGUGCCAGCAGCCGCGGUAAUACGGAAGGUCCGGGCGUUAUCCGGAUUUAUUGGGUUUAAAGGGAGCGUAGGCCGGAGAUUAAGCGUGUUGUGAAAUGUAGAUGCUCAACAUCUGCACUGCAGCGCGAACUGGUUUCCUUGAGUACGCACAAAGUGGGCGGAAUUCGUGGUGUAGCGGUGAAAUGCUUAGAUAUCACGAAGAACUCCGAUUGCGAAGGCAGCUCACUGGAGCGCAACUGACGCUGAAGCUCGAAAGUGCGGGUAUCGAACAGGAUUAGAUACCCUAGUAGUC
Molecule: ribosomal RNA, 460 nt
Filed under: Escherichia coli
Lineage: Bacteria; Pseudomonadati; Pseudomonadota; Gammaproteobacteria; Enterobacterales; Enterobacteriaceae
Description: bacterial SSU rRNA
Rfam family: Bacterial small subunit ribosomal RNA
Source: RNAcentral